GAUGAACGCUGGCGGCGUGCCUAAUACAUGCAAGUCGAGCGAACGGACGAGAAGCCUGCUUCUCUGAUGUUAGCGGCGGACGGGUGAGUAACACGUGGAUAACCUACCUAUAAGACUGGGAUAACUUCGGGAAACCGGAGCUAAUACCGGAUAAUAUUUUGAACCGCAUGGUUCAAAAGUGAAAGACGGUCUUGCUGUCACUUAUAGAUGGAUCCGCGCUGCAUUAGCUAGUUGGUAAGGUAACGGCUUACCAAGGCAACGAUGCAUAGCCGACCUGAGAGGGUGAUCGGCCACACUGGAACUGAGACACGGUCCAGACUCCUACGGGAGGCAGCAGUAGGGAAUCUUCCGCAAAGGGCGAAAGCCUGACGGAGCAACGCCGCGUGAGUGAUGAAGGUCUUCGGAUCGUAAAACUCUGUUAUUAGGGAAGAACAUAUGUGUAAGUAACUGUGCACAUCUUGACGGUACCUAAUCAGAAAGCCACGGCUAACUACGUG
This 497-nucleotide ribosomal RNA is filed under the name uncultured bacterium. RNAcentral's name for it is "partial 16S ribosomal RNA". It matches the Rfam family "Bacterial small subunit ribosomal RNA", at positions 28 to 507 of the family's 1533-position model. The record is from RNAcentral.